RNAcentral lists this unclassified non-coding RNA (707 nucleotides) under Hevea brasiliensis (rubber tree). Lineage: Eukaryota; Viridiplantae; Streptophyta; Magnoliopsida; Malpighiales; Euphorbiaceae. The record is from RNAcentral.
GACUCGUCUCUGCUCCUUUCCCCUGUUUCGUUCUUUUGCAAAGGCAUAACUAUAUUUGAACUUGCAGGCUACCUGGUGACUAUGGUUUUGAUCCACUUGGUCUAGGAAAGGACCCUGCAUUCUUGAAAUGGUACAGAGAAGCUGAGCUCAUUCAUGGCAGAUGGGCAAUGGCUGCGGUAUUGGGCAUCUUUGUUGGUCAAGCAUGGAGUGGCAUUCCAUGGUUUGAGGCUGGUGCUGACCCUGGCGCUAUUGCACCUUUCUCUUUUGGCACACUUCUUGGUACACAACUUAUCCUCAUGGGGUGGGUUGAGAGCAAAAGAUGGGUCGACUUCUUCGACCCUGACUCUCAGUCUGUAGAAUGGGCCACCCCAUGGUCCAAGACUGCUGAGAACUUCGCCAACUUCACAGGCGAACAGGGUUAUCCCGGUGGCAAAUUCUUCGAUCCUCUGGCAUUAGCUGGUACACUUAACAAUGGAGUUUACGUCCCUGACACAGAGAAGCUUGAGAGAUUAAAGGUUGCUGAGAUCAAGCAUGCUAGACUUGCUAUGUUAGCCAUGUUAAUUUUCUAUUUUGAGGCUGGGCAAGGGAAGACACCCCUGGGAGCUCUUGGUUUGUAAGGGGUUUCGUAUUAAACAUUUCAUUGUAAAAAGUCACUGGAUGUAGAAAGAAGAAAUCAAAAUUUGGUUGUCCCCUUUAGAAAAUUCAAG